UGGGAGUGUGGCUCAGUGACAGGGCAUCUGCCUUGCAUCUGGGAGGCCCCAGGUUCGAUCCCUGCCACCUCAA
RNAcentral lists this transfer RNA (73 nucleotides) under Sphaerodactylus townsendi. Its description in RNAcentral is "tRNA-Ala". The record is from RNAcentral. Lineage: Eukaryota; Metazoa; Chordata; Lepidosauria; Squamata; Sphaerodactylidae.